GAUGAACGCUGGCGGCGUGCCUAAUACAUGCAAGUCGAGCGAACAGACGAGGAGCUUGCUCCUCUGACGUUAGCGGCGGACGGGUGAGUAACACGUGGAUAACCUACCUAUCAGACUGGGAUAACUUCGGGAAACCGGAGCUAAUACCGGAUAAUAUAUUGAACCGCAUGGUUCAAUAGUGAAAGACGGUUUUGCUGUCACUUAUAGAUGGAUCCGCGCCGCAUUAGCUAGUUGGUAAGGUAACGGCUUACCAAGGCAACGAUGCGUAGCCGACCUGAGAGGGUGAUCGGCCACACUGGAACUGAGACACGGUCCAGACUCCUACGGGAGGCAGCAGUAGGGAAUCUUCCGCAAUGGGCGAAAGCCUGACGGAGCAACGCCGCGUGAGUGAUGAAGGUCUUCGGAUCGUAAAACUCUGUUAGUAGGGAAGAACAAAUGUGUAAGUAACUAUGCACGUCUUGACGGUACCUAAUCAGAAAGCCACGGCUAACUACGUG
Molecule: ribosomal RNA, 497 nt
Filed under: uncultured bacterium
Lineage: Bacteria
Description: partial 16S ribosomal RNA
Rfam family: Bacterial small subunit ribosomal RNA
Source: RNAcentral